CGAACGAACGGAGGAAGAGCUUGCUCUUCCAAAGUUAGUGGCGGACGGGUGAGUAACACGUGGGCAACCUGCCUGUAAGUUGGGGAUAACUCCGGGAAACCGGGGCUAAUACCGAAUGAUAAAGUGUGGCGCAUGCCACGCUUUUGAAAGAUGGUUUCGGCUAUCGCUUACAGAUGGGCCCGCGGUGCAUUAGCUAGUUGGUAGGGUAAUGGCCUACCAAGGCAACGAUGCAUAGCCGACCUGAGAGGGUGAUCGGCCACACUGGGACUGAGACACGGCCCAGACUCCUACGGGAGGCAGCAGUAGGGAAUCUUCCGCAAUGGACGAAAGUCUGACGGAGCAACGCCGCGUGUAUGAAGAAGGUUUUCGGAUCGUAAAGUACUGUUGUUAGAGAAGAACAAGGAUAAGAGUAACUGCUUGUCCCUUGACGGUAUCUAACCAGAAAGCCACGGCUAACUACGUGCCAGCAGCCGCGGUAAUACGUAGGUGGCAAGCGUUGUCCGGAUUUAUUGGGCGUAAAGCGCGCGCAGGCGGUCUUUUAAGUCUGAUGUGAAAGCCCCCGGCUUAACCGGGGAGGGUCAUUGGAAACUGGAAGACUGGAGUGCAGAAGAGGAGAGUGGAAUUCCACGUGUAGCGGUGAAAUGCGUAGAUAUGUGGAGGAACACCAGUGGCGAAGGCGACUCUCUGGUCUGUAACUGACGCUGAGGCGCGAAAGCGUGGGGAGCAAACAG
This 731-nucleotide ribosomal RNA is filed under the name Salmonella enterica. RNAcentral's name for it is "bacterial SSU rRNA". It matches the Rfam family "Bacterial small subunit ribosomal RNA", at positions 63 to 775 of the family's 1533-position model. Lineage: Bacteria; Pseudomonadati; Pseudomonadota; Gammaproteobacteria; Enterobacterales; Enterobacteriaceae. The record is from RNAcentral.